CCAUUUUAAAAUUUAAAUGUAAAAAACUAUAAAAACUAUUUUUGUAAUUUAUAUUAUACGAAAAUAAAAAUAUAAAAAAAAAAGUAAUUGUAGUUACCUAAGUAAUUAAAAUGAAAUGAUACUAUUAUGUGCAUGUUUAAAAUAAAUGUCCAACGAUAAAAAAAUAAAUUAACAAGGUGCAAACAAAAUAAGAGUAAGUUUAGAAAAAUGAAACCAAAGAUAUAGGGUGUGAGAUUUAGCAAAUAUAAUGGUGCCUGAACAAACAAGGGUCCAUAAGAACAGUGGUGUAUGAGAAAAAAAUAGCUGCACGAAGAAAAAGAGAAUUUAAACCGAAAAGUGCCCAAAACAAGAAAGGGGGAGUGCCUAAAUGGAAGACAGGGGUGUGCAGAGAAGUGAGCAAGACAGAAAGCCCUAAAAGAAAAAAUAAAAAGAAACUGCAGAAAUAAAAGCAAGGUGCUGCUCCCUUCACCACUACACCAUGUUUCAUCCUCUCCUCCAAAUUCUUUUAAUUCUAAUUCUAUCCUUAGUUAAAAUUUUUUACUUUUAUCAUUUAGAAUUCUUUUAAUUAAUUUAAAAUUUUUAUUUGUACUCAUUUUUGCUGUGCACCCCACCCAUCUUUUGCAGAUUCUUUUCUUCCCCUC
This 641-nucleotide long non-coding RNA is filed under the name Vigna radiata. RNAcentral describes it as "long non-coding RNA (VRAD_LNC003986)". The record is from RNAcentral. Lineage: Eukaryota; Viridiplantae; Streptophyta; Magnoliopsida; Fabales; Fabaceae.